RNAcentral lists this long non-coding RNA (228 nucleotides) under Lathyrus oleraceus (garden pea). RNAcentral describes it as "Pisum sativum (pea) long non-coding RNA (PSAT_LNC038485)". The record is from RNAcentral. Lineage: Eukaryota; Viridiplantae; Streptophyta; Magnoliopsida; Fabales; Fabaceae.
GCGUAAGUGAAAUUCCCCUAAAUAUUCGUGUGUAUUUGUAUAUUUAAUUAUGUCUGUCAGAUUGAUCUCAAUAUACGUUUUUAUUUUGUUAGGGCAAUACUAAAAUUUAGAUCGAAAAAGAAUUAUCGUAAUAGGAAGGACAUUACCUGGGUCAGAGUUCAGGUAUAUAUUAAGUAUCUUAUUUUUGCUUAUAAUAGUGUUUGUUUUUUGCUUAUAAUAGUGUUUGUA